GACGAACGCUGGCGGCGUGCUUAACACAUGCAAGUCGAACGGAAAGGCCCUGCUUGCAGGGUACUCGAGUGGCGAACGGGUGAGUAACACGUGGGUGAUCUGCCCUGCACUUCGGGAUAAGCCUGGGAAACUGGGUCUAAUACCGGAUAGGAGCCAUUUUUAGUGUGAUGGUUGGAAAGUUUUUUCGGUGUAGGAUGAGCUCGCGGCCUAUCAGCUUGUUGGUGGGGUAAUGGCCUACCAAGGCGGCGACGGGUAGCCGGCCUGAGAGGGUGGACGGCCACAGUUGGACCUGGAUCAGGCCCAGGCUCCUACCGGAGGGAGCAGUGGGGAAUAUUGCACAAAGGGCGCAAGCCUGAAGCAGCGACGCCGCGGGGGGGAUGACGGCCUUCGGGUUGUAAACUCCUUUCGCUAGGGACGAAGCUUUUUGUGACGGUACCUAGAUAAGAAGCACCGGCUAACUACGUG
RNAcentral lists this ribosomal RNA (465 nucleotides) under uncultured bacterium. RNAcentral's name for it is "partial 16S ribosomal RNA". It matches the Rfam family "Bacterial small subunit ribosomal RNA", at positions 28 to 507 of the family's 1533-position model. The record is from RNAcentral.